AGAGUUUGAUCCUGGCUCAGAUUGAACGCUAGCGGUAUGCUUAACACAUGCAAGUCGAACGGCAGCGCGGAGAGCUUGCUCUCUGGCGGCGAGUGGCGGACGGGGGAGUAACGCGUGGGAAUCUACCCAGUAGUGGGGGAUAACUCGAGGAAACUCGAGCUAAUACCGCAUAAUCUCUACGGAGUAAAGCGGGGGACCUUAGGGCCUCGCGCUUAAAGAUGAGCCUGCGUCGGAUUAGCUAGUUGGUGAGGUAAAGGCUCACCAAGGCGACGAUCCGUAGCUGGUCUGAGAGGAUGAUCAGCCACACUGGGACUGAGACACGGCCCAGACUCCUACGGGAGGCAGCAGUAGGGAAUAUUGGACAAUGGGCGAAAGCCUGAUCCAGCAAUGCCGCGUGUGUGAAGAAGGCCUGCGGGUUGUAAAGCACUUUCAGUAGAGAAGAAAAGCUUAGGGAUAAUACCCCUGAGUCUUGACGUAACCUACAGAAGAAGCACCGGCUAACUCCGUGCCAGCAGCCGCGGUAAUACGGAGGGUGCGAGCGUUAAUCGGAAUUACUGGGCGUAAAGCGCGCGUAGGUGGUUUGUUAAGCGAGAUGUGAAAGCCCCGGGCUCAACCUGGGAACUGCAUUUAGAACUGGAAGGCUAGAGUAUGGUAGAGGAGUGUGGAAUUUCAGGUGUAGCGGUGAAAUGCGUAGAGAUCUGAAGGAACAUCAGUUGCGAAGGCGACACUCUGGACCAAUACUGACGCUGAGGUGCGAAAGCGUGGGUAGCAAACAGGAUUAGAUACCCUGGUAGUCCACGCCGUAAACGAUGUCUACUAGCCGUUGGGUUCCUUGAGGACUUAGUGGCGCAGCUAACGCAUUAAGUAGACCGCCUGGGGAGUACGGCCCCCCAUGUUAAAACUCAAAUGAAUUGACGGGGGCCCGCACAAGCGGUGGAGCAUGUGGUUUAAUUCGAUGCAACGCGAAGAACCUUACCAGGUCUUGACAUCCUACUAAGUUUCCAGAGAUGGAUUCGUGCCUUCGGGAACUCGGUGACAGGUGCUGCAUGGCUGUCGUCAGCUCGUUUCGUGAGAUGUUGGGUUAAGUCCCGUAACGAGCGCAACCCUUAUCCUUAUUUGCCAGCACGUAAUGUGGGAACUCUAAGGAGACUGCCGGUGACAAACCGGAGGAAGGUGGGGACGACGUCAAGUCAUCAUGGCCGUUACGACCUGGGCUACACACGUGCUACAAUGGCCGAUACAGAGGGCUGCAAUACCCCGAGGAGGAGCUAAUCUCAGAAAACCGGUCGUAGUCCGGAUUGGAGUCUGCAACUCGACUCCAUGAAGUCGGAAUCGCUAGUAAUCGCGAAUCAGAAUGUCGCGGUGAAUACGUUCCCGGGCCUUGUACACACCGCCCGUCACACCAUGGGAGUGGAUUGCACCAGAAGUAGGUAGCUUAACCUUCGGGAGAGCGCUUACCACGGUGUGGUUCAUGACUGGGGUGAAGUCGUAACAAGGUAGCCGUAGGGGAACCUGCGGCUGGAUCACCUC
Molecule: ribosomal RNA, 1530 nt
Filed under: uncultured prokaryote
Description: partial 16S ribosomal RNA
Rfam family: Bacterial small subunit ribosomal RNA
Source: RNAcentral